AAAGGUCUCCACAACCAAAAAGCACUGUGAAUUGUUAGUUGCAUUUUGCCUGGUCACGUGAGUGAAUUUCCUCCUGGAUUGCAUUGAAUCUGCACUGUUUUGGAGACUGGCAGAUCCGUCGUUGAUAAAGCCACAUGUGCAGGGUCAUCAUCAGUUGAUGUACUUCCAUCCUAGCUGAUACUGUUGAUUUUUCCCUGCCAGGAAGCUUCCUGACACAGCCUGCACCCCAGUGGACUUCCCAAAGCAAGUUGAGUCUGACUUCGCACCCCUGACAUCAGAAUCAUCUGACUUCUGGGCACGCCACUGAAUACUGAUGUACCUGAAGGAACCCUGGGUACCAAACAUGCUCAAGUGAAUGAAUGGUGUCCAGGACAAAGCCCAGCAGGGUGUAUGAAGAAAGGGCUUCAGCAGAAACAGAGGCUGAAGCCUGCGUGCUGGGGGCCGAGAGGCCAGAGGAGAAUGUGAUGAGACAUAGAAUUGGUAGUGCAGGAAGUUGGAAGAUCAAGUACCGUGAUGUUGGUGCUGGCUGCUUGUGUUAAACUGCCUAGGUUUUAAUCUACGGUAAUUUUCGCCCACCUGUGGGGCUCCCCUGGUGCCCCAGCUGUGAUGGGGUAACUGAACUGCCACCAGGGCCAAGCUGUCAGUGGCCCAGGAUCUGGCGCUUGGAAGAGUUCUGAGAAGCACCCCUGGAUCAAAUGAGGAGAAACAGACUUCAUCCAUACCUAUUCCCAUUGUAUUUAAAGAAGUGAAUAUUCUCAGGGAUUUCCACAGUUUUAAAAGUGUCUUUCAAUUAAAACAUUUAAAAUAAAAUAAGGUUGAGGUAACAACCAAGUUACACUUCUUCCAGCAGCACCCAGACAGCGAGAGCCCUCAGAUUUUAGAAUUUUAGAAGAGAAGAUUGUGGCCAUGUCUGGAAUUCAAAGAAGAACCAGUGAGAAGAGCUAGAUAGAACUGAUGGAUGCUGAAACAUCUAAUAUUAAAAUAGAAGGGCAACCCUAAAUGAUAAUAUAAAAUUACAAUAUUAAUGGUAGAGUAAUUAAGGAAGCCAUUAAUGU
This 1055-nucleotide long non-coding RNA is filed under the name Homo sapiens (human). Its description in RNAcentral is "HSALNT0238636". The record is from RNAcentral. Lineage: Eukaryota; Metazoa; Chordata; Mammalia; Primates; Hominidae.